UGCGUGUGUGCCUCACCUCCAUUGUUUUGUGACCAAGCCCACCUGAAAUCUAGGCGGCAAAUUAUUCAUGGUGAGAUCGUCCGAACCCAUCUACUUCUGGAUAAUUUUAUUUGUGAACUUGUCUGUAGUUUAUUUAGCUGGUCUUGUAUUAUUUUGUUUCUGAAUAGUAGAGUCUUCGGCUGAGGCCAUGCAUGGAGAAUGUGAUCUCCUGAUGCAUCUAUGAGCCAUGGGUCUGAUAGGUCUUCUGUUUUGCUUCUACACUUAUUAACGUGUGAUUAAUUUUAUAUUCUCUUUUCUGGCAAGCAGCUCAUCGGAUUAUAGAUUAUUAAUUAUGCAUGAAUCAAGUUAGUUAUUUUGCCUUUUGAGAUAUGUUUCAGGACAAGUGGAGCUAUCUUUACUAAGAUGAACAGUGCCUCUCACAUCCAUCAUUGCCUGUAUUUUGGAUUUUUUUUGUAGCCUUGAUGUUAAGUUUUUGUUUGGUAGGCAUAGCACCUAAUUUAUAAUGAAGUGCGUCCAUCAAGGGAACUGUUUGAUGUAUAUCAACCAUGACAGAAUCUAUCUUAACACUGCCCUGUUUUCUGUGAUUCUCAAAGGUUAUGCAAAUCUUCAUGGCUAUGAUAGAUUGUUCAAAGAACCAUUUGAACCUUGGAAGGGAUAUGUUCUACGUAUGUUUUUGCAGUCCGUGGAUGAACUAUUUUAAGACAUGUUGUUUACAUUCAGGUCAUAGACAUUGUUUUAUAAGAUAGAUAACUCAAAAGAUAGUUUGAACCUUGGAAGCGAUCUGUUCUUAUACAACUUUUAAGAAAAUAAGCAAAAUGCUAGAACUAGAUCAGGAAGUUUUCUGUCAACUGUGCCCUGGAGAUACAGUCGAAGCACGCCCGCCCCGUGUGCGUCUUUCACGACAUGCUUUGGUCCCGGGUUUCUUACUAUAUCAUAGCAUGUUUGCUGGACACAAGCAGAGACGGACAUGGUGCUAGCUGAUAGCACUUGCUAACUUAAGAAGUUUACACUACAUACCUUUUCUCUAAUUAAAAGAGAAUUUCUUACCAAAUAUUGAACCAAUUUUAGAUAUAUGUCUCUAAAGCAAUUACUCAAUUUUGUAGAGUAUACCUCCAUAAUUCUCCAUCUGAGAUACUAAAGUUUAUUGAUGAUGCUUGUUUUAGGAUAUGUGGUACAAACCAUCCUUGUGAGAAAUCCAACGGAUUCGAUGAGGACUGAGGAAGGAGCCGGAGGAGGUGGUGGGUUGAGGAAGGAGCUGGAGCAGAGGCGGCUUUGAGGCUGCCCCUACACGCACUAAGAGGCAGGAGGAAAAUAUGAGGCGCCGGCGAUCCGGACGUUGCAGUGUUUUCUUCGUCUCUCCUGGUAAGCCCUCGGCAGCACCUCCCAUACCCGCUCCAUCCGAAUUCAGCAGCGUACAGUGACAACGGUUGCCGACGUCCUCCUCAUCCAUGACGCUCCAAUUUGUUUGUUUGUUACAAUCCACAUCAUACACGGUUCUGCACUGUGGUGUGUGCGCCAAAGUUCAAAAUUGCAUAAGUGCUAGGACCAUCUGGAAAGAACAUAAAAUUUAUGUUUUCACUUUUCAGUCACACAAGUCUGCUCCCCAUUGUCGAUAGCUUCAAACUGAAUGUGGUGCAGGUGCGAGACCAGAAAUUCAGAGGAUGUGCAAGAUGAAACAUGGUGCAUGAGGCUUCAUGAGCAUAAUUGUAAGGAUUACAAACUUUCUUAGGAAAACCAAUACAACAGUGAUAAAUAUAAUUUCAUUUAUAGCUCAUGUUUUGAACUGUAUUUUAUAUGCAAUUUCGAUAUCAUGGUGGAACACAAAAUUUAAAUAGAAAAAAAUAAUACUGGCCAAUGUAUAUUUUUCAAGUUCAGAUAUAUAUACAUGCUUAACUAAAGUACGCACAG
Molecule: long non-coding RNA, 1908 nt
Filed under: Triticum aestivum (bread wheat)
Lineage: Eukaryota; Viridiplantae; Streptophyta; Magnoliopsida; Poales; Poaceae
Description: long non-coding RNA (TAES_LNC005363)
Source: RNAcentral